CACGUAGGGGGCGAGCGUUGUCCGGAAUCAUUGGGCGUAAAGAGCUCGUAGGCGGCUCGGUAAGUCGGGUGUGAAACCCCCAGGCUCAACCUGGGGACGCCACCCGAUACUGCUGUGCUAGAGUCCAGUAGGGGAGUGUGGAAUUCCCGGUGUAGCGGUGAAAUGCGCAGAUAUCGGGAGGAACACCAGCGGCGAAGGCGGCACUCUGGGCUGGAACUGACGCUGAGGAGCGAAAGCGUGGGGAGCAAACAGG
Molecule: ribosomal RNA, 253 nt
Filed under: uncultured bacterium
Lineage: Bacteria
Description: partial 16S ribosomal RNA
Rfam family: Bacterial small subunit ribosomal RNA
Source: RNAcentral